Molecule: long non-coding RNA, 322 nt
Organism: Panicum hallii
Lineage: Eukaryota; Viridiplantae; Streptophyta; Magnoliopsida; Poales; Poaceae
Exons: 3
Source: RefSeq, a predicted model, not a curated record
AAAAGCUCCGAGAACCAAAAUUAAGUUGGAACGCAACGUAUGAGUCUCUGCUGGGAAGCAAUAAGCCAUUCUCCCAACCGAUACCUCUUGGUGAAAUGGUAGAUUUGCUUGUGGAUGCUUGGGAGCAAGAAGGCCUGUAUGAUUAGGCCAGUGAAGUUCAUUGUUUGACUCAGAUUGAUCGCUUAAUUGUAUUCAGAACUUCAGAUGCACAGAAGCUCUAGGUUCUUGAACGUAUUACAUUUCUGAGCUCAAUAGUGUAUCAUGAUAUCAUCAAACAGGGCAGCAUUAUCAUUAAUCAAUUGUAGUAUAUUAAUCCUGUCAA